GAUGAACGCUGGCGGCGUGCUUAACACAUGCAAGUCGAACGGGAAACCUUUUAUUGAAGCUUCGGCAGAUUUCGCUGGUUUCUAGUGGCGGACGGGUGAGUAACGCGUGGGUAACCUGCCUUAUACAGGGGGAUAACAACCAGAAAUGGUUGCUAAUACCGCAUAAGCGCACAGGACCGCAUGGUCCGGUGUGAAAAACUCCGGUGGUAUAAGAUGGACCCGCGUUGGAUUAGCUAGUUGGCAGGGUAACGGCCUACCAAGGCGACGAUCCAUAGCCGGCCUGAGAGGGUGAACGGCCACAUUGGGACUGAGACACGGCCCAGACUCCUACGGGAGGCAGCAGUGGGGAAUAUUGCACAAUGGGGGAAACCCUGAUGCAGCGACGCCGCGUGAAGGAAGAAGUAUCUCGGUAUGUAAACUUCUAUCAGCAGGGAAGAUAGUGACGGUACCUGAAUAAGAAGCCCCGGCUAACUACGUG
This 478-nucleotide ribosomal RNA is filed under the name uncultured bacterium. Its description in RNAcentral is "partial 16S ribosomal RNA". It matches the Rfam family "Bacterial small subunit ribosomal RNA", at positions 28 to 507 of the family's 1533-position model. The record is from RNAcentral.